CAUUACCAAAUUUCUAAAGGUACUUAGUUUACUAGGAUACCUGGGUAUUGAAAUAUAUACCACAUCUACCUUGUGUGCAAUGUAAUUGUAUUGAUGGAUUUUCUAUCUGGGUUUACUUGGAUGGGAUUUCUAUAUAAACAUUUUAAGCUUUCUUAAGUCUGAAAAGUUUUUUACGUUGAUAUUUUACUUUAGUAAGAUAUUUAAAAUUGUUAAAACAACUUUUGGCAACGGAUCUCUUGGCUCUCGCAACGAUGAAGAACGCAGCGAAAUGCGAUAAGUAAUGUGAAUUGCAGAAUUCAGUGAAUCAUCGAAUCUUUGAACGCACAUUGCGCUUCCUGGCAUUCCGGGGAGCAUGCCUGUUUCAGAAUCAUUAAAACCUCUCACCUACUAUUGUGUUUUAUGCCAAUAGUUUGGUGGAUUUUGAAUGCUUUCGGAUUUAUUCGAAUCAUUUAAAUUUCAUUGUGUGCAGCCAUUAUUUCACUCAUUUUAAAAUGUUUGGUGAAUGGUUCCCAAGUGCAAUAAAGAUUAACAAUCUCUUAUCACUCUUGAGUACCGCAUAGUUCCCGGACAAUUAAUUUUGAAUUGAGAUUUAUGAAUUAGUGAUUGUAUCUCAAAUUAUUAUACGAUUUGUUUAUGCAAAUAAAUAAUUCGAAACUUUGAUCUGAAAUCAAGCAAGAAAACCCGCUGAACUUAA
RNAcentral lists this ribosomal RNA (694 nucleotides) under uncultured Chytridiomycota. Its description in RNAcentral is "eukaryotic LSU rRNA". The stretch from base 217 to 370 matches the Rfam family "5.8S ribosomal RNA". The record is from RNAcentral. Lineage: Eukaryota; Fungi; Chytridiomycota.